Molecule: small nuclear RNA, 105 nt
Organism: Mastomys coucha (southern multimammate mouse)
Lineage: Eukaryota; Metazoa; Chordata; Mammalia; Rodentia; Muridae
Source: RefSeq, a predicted model, not a curated record
UUGUUCGCACUUCAGCAGCAUGUAUACUGAAAUUGGGACAAUUCAGAGACGAUUAGCAUGGUCCCUAUGCAAGGAUGGCAUGCAUGUGAGAAGGUUUUUCUUUCC